Long non-coding RNA from Medicago truncatula (barrel medic), 403 nucleotides. RefSeq lists it as uncharacterized. The transcript is spliced from 2 exons. Lineage: Eukaryota; Viridiplantae; Streptophyta; Magnoliopsida; Fabales; Fabaceae. The record is from RefSeq and is a predicted model, not a curated record.
GCAAUCAAGAUUCUUUUCGCUUGAGAGAGAAGCAAAAAUAUUGGUAAGAGAUCUAUGCUCGCUCAUCUCACGAAUGGUCAUGGUCUAAUUUUCCGCCUCUCUGUAACUGGAUCAGAAGGUGCAACUAUUAGACUAUACAUUGAGCAAUAUGAGAAGGAUCCAUCAAAGAUCGGGAGACUUUCACAUGAAGCACUUGCUCCUCUUGUGGAGGCUUCAUUGAAACUUUCAAAGAUGGAAGAGUUCACCGGUCGAUCUGCUCCCACAGUCAUCACAUAAAUACCCUACCUGUACUGUUGGUUGUUUUCGGCCCCUAUAUAUAGGCACUUGAGUGGAAUUUGUAUUACUUAACUAAAUUUUGAUGUGAUAAAUAAUUUGAAACUGCUGAGUUCUGAUAUUAUAUAUA